UUUUUUUUUGUCUGUCAAUCUUUGGUUGGGUUCAUGGGCCAAGCCCAAUAUUGCAGCCUUUUUAUUGUUGGGUUGUGGCCUUUUUGUCUAAACGAAUUUAGUUUUUCUUUUUUUUUCCAAAAGAAGGGUCCACUAGUCAGAUGGGUCCCAGUUGUCAUCAUCAGUUGGCUAUAGCCUUUUCAGGUGCAGUACACAGGAAUACAAUUUUGCACAUAUAUAUUGUUGAGAAAUUUUCAUAAUUUUGCUGUCAAAGCAGCAUGUACACAGGAAUACAAUUUUGCUAUCAAAGCAACAUUUCAAACGUACAUCUUCAUGACAUCGUACAUAAAAACCAGCAAUAAAAAGAUUACAAUAUGCCAUUUGGCUCAGAUCUUGCAUGUGCAGCAUCUCACAUUCAUGUACAGGAGAGGAGGAGGGGCUUGAGUUGUCCUGAAGGAUACACAUUGUAGGCUAUUAUUUUGGACAAUAAUGUAGAGGUAUUAUUUUGGACAAUAAGGUCCAAGACAACAUUGUAGGCUAUUAACAUAAAAUAAGUUAUUAUCAGGUUAAGCCUCCUUAGUUUAGUGAUCACCAUGAGAUAGAUAGCAGUACAUUUGUUAUACAGAGCAGCAACAAUGAAAAUAACAGAAAAUUAAAAUAUAAGUGUGGCAG
This 651-nucleotide long non-coding RNA is filed under the name Triticum aestivum (bread wheat). RNAcentral's name for it is "long non-coding RNA (TAES_LNC002254)". Lineage: Eukaryota; Viridiplantae; Streptophyta; Magnoliopsida; Poales; Poaceae. The record is from RNAcentral.